GACGAACGCUGGCGGCGUGCUUAACACAUGCAAGUCGAACGGAGCUAUUUAUUUCGGUAGAUAGCUUAGUGGCAAACGGGUGAGUAACGCGUAGGCAACCUGCCCUCAGGAUGGGGACAACGGCUCGAAAGAGCCGCUAAUACCGAAUGACGUAACUCUUCCACAUGGAAGAGAUACUAAAGAUGGGUCAAACCAUCGCCUAAGGAUGGGCCUGCGUCUGAUUAGCCAGUUGGUGAGGUAACGGCUCACCAAAGCGACGAUCAGUAGCCGGUCUGAGAGGAUGAACGGCCACAAUGGGACUGAGACACGGCCCAUACUCCUACGGGAGGCAGCAGUGGGGAAUCUUCCGCAAUGGGCGAAAGCCUGACGGAGCAACGCCGCGUGAGUGAAGAAGGUCUUCGGAUCGUAAAGCUCUGUUGUCGGGGACGAAAGAGUAGACGAGGAAAUUCGUCUACUAAGG
RNAcentral lists this ribosomal RNA (460 nucleotides) under Veillonellaceae bacterium oral taxon 155. Its description in RNAcentral is "bacterial SSU rRNA". It matches the Rfam family "Bacterial small subunit ribosomal RNA", at positions 28 to 472 of the family's 1533-position model. Lineage: Bacteria; Bacillati; Bacillota; Negativicutes; Veillonellales; Veillonellaceae. The record is from RNAcentral.